CUAUCAAAAUCAUUGUGUGCCAAAAGUGUGCCAUAAAGAUUUAGAAACGACUUGUCUGUUACGUUACAGACCUAUCUAAGAACGGCUUAUCAGUGCAGUUUCAGUUUAGAAGUUUGCACCAAUUUUAAACCACCUGGGUCAUCAUGACUCAUGACAGGAACAAAGAGAAAGGAGAAAACAGCAACAUAGACCGUGAAUGAAGAGAGAAUAUGGACUGAUGAUGAAUCAGUAAAUCCUCCACAAAGAAUAGACUAAGAGGGCAUUUAUCUGCAGGAAAGGAUUCUGCUAACUAAGAGCAUGGACUAAAAAUACUUGCAUAAUGUUGGAAAGGAAGCCCCCCCCCAAUCAUGAAAAGUUAGUUGAAAUCUCAGAGUGAACUUAAAGUACAUGUACCAAGAAAGUAGUUAAUAAAUAUUCCUAUCAAAUGUGUUGCAUGCAUGGUUAGAACGUCUGCUCUCAAGUCACGAAGUUAGGAGUUGAAUUCCACUGUGGAACGUGGAGACUGGUCCUUCGGAUGAGACUGUAUAAACUGAGGUCCCAUGUUGCAGUAGGUGAUGAUCAAAAAAGAUCCUGCUCAAUGGCCCUGAGUGCGAAUUGAUGUAGUAAAGGACAAAAUUUGCAGCUUUCCCACGGCAAAUGUUGGCAUCUCCUUAUGAGUGAAAAAUUCUCAUGAGGGACGUUAAACAAUAUACAAUCAAUCAAUUAAUGGGAAAUGCAACAGAUGAGGACACUCUUUCAACAUGACAUGGAUUCUUCAAGGGAAUUUUGUUGUUGUUUUUCUAAAAGUGAUAGAAUCAAGACACUGGACAAAAUGGUCUCCUUUUACUGUGUAAAUAAUAUUGUGAGAUUUAAGUGUCUUCUGACCAAAUUAGACAAGUGACCAUUUACUCUACUUUAUUUCUUUAAUAUAUUUAGUCAAUAUUGUUGGGGGAAAUUGAAAGAUUCUGCCUGUCACAAAUGGACAUUGAUUUCAAGUGGCAGAUAAAAAAAGUUUUGACUUUAUUAUACAUGCAUUAUACUAGAAUAAGAAUUGUUUACUUAGCAUAGCUUAUUUUAAAUUUGAAUAAGUGAUAAUGCAGAUGUUUGUAUAUUAUUUUCCCCCAUCAUGUUCUUUCUUCAUUUUAGGCCAAAAAAAAAAUAAUAGUCUUGUUUCCUGCUACCAGCUACCAGUAAACUUGCUGCAACU
Saccostrea cuccullata (small rock oyster) is the source of this 1186-nucleotide long non-coding RNA. RefSeq lists it as uncharacterized. The transcript is spliced from 3 exons. Lineage: Eukaryota; Metazoa; Mollusca; Bivalvia; Ostreida; Ostreidae. The record is from RefSeq and is a predicted model, not a curated record.